This 112-nucleotide ribosomal RNA is filed under the name Mucilaginibacter sp. 21P. The record is from RNAcentral. Lineage: Bacteria; Pseudomonadati; Bacteroidota; Sphingobacteriia; Sphingobacteriales; Sphingobacteriaceae.
UCAGGUGCCUAUAUCGGCGGUGUCCACCUCUUCCCAUUCCGAACAGAGAAGUUAAGCCCGCCAGAGCCGAUGGUACUGCAGUAAAAUGUGGGAGAGUAGGUCGGUGCCAACU